Molecule: long non-coding RNA, 1568 nt
Filed under: Bos grunniens (domestic yak)
Lineage: Eukaryota; Metazoa; Chordata; Mammalia; Artiodactyla; Bovidae
Description: lncRNA (ENSBGRG00000016791.1)
Source: RNAcentral
ACUUCCCGAUAGCUCAGUUGGUAAAGAAUCCACCUGCAAUGCAGAAGACCCCAGUUUGGUUCUUGGGUCAGAAAGAUCUGCUGGAGAAGGGAUAGGCUGCCCACUCCAGUAUUCUGGCCUGGAGAAUCCCAUGGACUGCAGCACACCAGGCUCCUCUGUCCUUCACUGUCUCCCAGAGUUUGCUCCAAUUCGCCUCCAUUUGUCAGUGAUGCUGUCUGAGCAUCUCACCCUCUGUCACUCCCUUCAAGUAUCUAGGGUUAUUUUUUAGGAAUACAUGGUUGUGCAGGGCCUGGGGCAGCAGGAAACAUCUAUUUUAUGCACAGGAAGGAUGGAGAGAGGGGGUGGGUGAGAUUCAAAGUGCGUGUCUUCUCUUGUCAGUAAGUGUUCCGAGGAACUAGUUUUCAGGCAGCAUUUUAUUGCACAUUUUAUUUAUUCUGGCAAGGACUAUGCUAUAUCCUUGACUUCCUUCUCUGUGUUCCCUUACAAGCACUCUGAUUGAGGACCACUAGCGAAAGGAUGGUUGGACAGAUGCUGUCUUGGACUUAGAUGGAGUCCUAGUCCCUGGAGUGGUGCUCCAGACUUCGUUUGGAGACGAUGCUUCCAGAGCAAAAAAAAAAAAGAAAAAAGAAAUGGAGAUUGUACUGUAAGCAGUGUUUUGCACAAUUGUUGGGUCAACACACCAUCGUCCUGAAAAUUUUUCUUUGUACGAGGACCUGUGAGUUUCAUCCAUAACCAAGUAUAAUCGCUCGCCAAUGUCCAACUAACUAUGUGAAUCCACUCCACUCAAAUACUAUAGAAUUAAUUCUAUGUAAUUGCAUAGUACGAGUAUUCUGGAAGACGUGAGUUGAAGGGAGAAAUAUUUUAUAAUGGCAGCAGGAUGAGGCAGAGACAGCUUCUGACCAACUAUACAGAAAUCAGUCAUCAGAUUCUAAGAAGAAGUCUUGUUCCCAUGUGUAAGGCCAUUCCCAGCGGCAAACAUCUGGGGGAGAAGGCGCUCCGCUGGCAAGUUAAGAAGGGGCCGAGGUCAACUCCAGCAUUAGUCCCCUUCCUUCUCUGGUAUGAGGAUGCGAAUGCCAGGAUGGCCUGGAGCUGGGGUCUUUCUAGAGAGACGGCGAGGACCCAGAGGAUGUGAAUGGACAGAAGCAUGAAGGGAAGAAGUGAAGUGACGUUGCUCAGUCGUGUCUGACUCUUUGUGACCCCAUAUGGAUUGUAGCCUACCAGGGUCCUCCGUCCAUGGAAGUUUCCAGGCAAGAAUACUGGAGUGGGUUGCCAUUUUCUUCUCCAGGGGAUCUUCCCAAUCCAGGGAUAGAAUCCGGGUCUCCCGAAUUGCAGGCAGAUGCUUUACUGUCUGAGCCACCAGGGAAGCCCCGAUAAGCAUUAAGGGAAGAAACAUAUAAAAGAGAAUAGCACACAGUCUCUAACAAUUUCCUACCCUAGUUAAGUACAGUGUGGACUCUCAGACCCAGAAGAGUCUGAUCUUUGUGGAAGGCUGUUCCUCACCACGACGUCCUUGGUUUAGGGUCACCCGAGAACGUGACACUCGAGUUUGAUGAGUCAGGAGAAGCUUG